UCGGAUGCUGACGAGUGGCGAACGGGUGAGUAAUGCAUCGGAACGUGCCCAGUCGUGGGGGAUAACGCAGCGAAAGCUGUGCUAAUACCGCAUACGAUCUAUGGAUGAAAGCGGGGGAUCGCAAGACCUCGCGCGAUUGGAGCGGCCGAUGUCAGAUUAGCUAGUUGGUGGGGUAAAGGCCCACCAAGGCGACGAUCUGUAGCUGGUCUGAGAGGACGACCAGCCACACUGGGACUGAGACACGGCCCAGACUCCUACGGGAGGCAGCAGUGGGGAAUUUUGGACAAUGGGCGCAAGCCUGAUCCAGCAAUGCCGCGUGCAGGAAGAAGGCCUUCGGGUUGUAAACUGCUUUUGUACGGAACGAAAAGGUCUGGGUUAAUACCCUGGGCUCAUGACGGUACCGUAAGAAUAAGCACCGGCUAACUACGUGCCAGCAGCCGCGGUAAUA
Molecule: ribosomal RNA, 448 nt
Filed under: uncultured bacterium
Lineage: Bacteria
Description: bacterial SSU rRNA
Rfam family: Bacterial small subunit ribosomal RNA
Source: RNAcentral